This 253-nucleotide ribosomal RNA is filed under the name uncultured bacterium. Its description in RNAcentral is "partial 16S ribosomal RNA". It matches the Rfam family "Bacterial small subunit ribosomal RNA", at positions 524 to 776 of the family's 1533-position model. The record is from RNAcentral.
UACGUAGGGUGCGAGCGUUGUCCGGAAUUAUUGGGCGUAAAGAGCUUGUAGGCGGUCUGUCGCGUCUGCUGUGAAAAUCCGGGGCUCAACCCCGGACUUGCAGUGGGUACGGGCAGACUAGAGUGUGGUAGGGAAGACUGGAAUUCCUGGUGUAGCGGUGAAAUGCGCAGAUAUCAGGAGGAACACCGAUGGCGAAGGCAGGUCUCUGGGCCACUACUGACGCUGAGAAGCGAAAGCAUGGGGAGCGAACAGG